This 253-nucleotide ribosomal RNA is filed under the name uncultured bacterium. RNAcentral's name for it is "partial 16S ribosomal RNA". It matches the Rfam family "Bacterial small subunit ribosomal RNA", at positions 524 to 776 of the family's 1533-position model. The record is from RNAcentral.
GACGUAGGAGGCGAGCGUUGUCCGGAUUCAUUGGGCGUAAAGAGCGUGUAGGCGGCCAGGUAGGUCUGCUGUGAAAACUCGAGGCUCAACCUCGAGACGUCGGCGGAAACCAUCUGGCUAGAGUCCGGAAGAGGAGAGUGGAAUUCCUGGUGUAGCGGUGAAAUGCGCAGAUAUCAGGAAGAACACCCGUGGCGAAGGCGGCUCUCUGGGACGGUACUGACGCUGAGACGCGAAAGCGUGGGGAGCGAACAGG